This 99-nucleotide ribosomal RNA is filed under the name uncultured bacterium. Its description in RNAcentral is "partial 16S ribosomal RNA". It matches the Rfam family "Bacterial small subunit ribosomal RNA", at positions 1384 to 1482 of the family's 1533-position model. The record is from RNAcentral.
UACACACCGCCCGUCACGCCAUGGAAGCUGGGGGGACCUGAAGUUGGUGGGCUAACCGCAAGGAGGCAGCCGCCAAAGGUCAAUUCAGUGACUGGGGCG